This 493-nucleotide ribosomal RNA is filed under the name uncultured bacterium. RNAcentral describes it as "bacterial SSU rRNA". It matches the Rfam family "Bacterial small subunit ribosomal RNA", at positions 26 to 518 of the family's 1533-position model. The record is from RNAcentral.
AGGACGAACGCUGGCGGCGUGCCUAACACAUGCAAGUCGAACGGGACUAUAUUGAUUAAUCCUCGGAAGCGUUGGUAUAGUUUAGUGGCGGACGGGUGAGUAACACGUGAGCAACCUGCCUUUCAGAGAGGGAUACCGUUUGGAAACGAACGCUAAUACCUCAUAACGCAGCGGGACCGCAUGAUUCUGCUGCCAAAGGAGCGAUCCGCUGAAAGAUGGGCUCGCGGCUGAUUAGAUAGUUGGUGGGGUAACGGCCUACCAAGUCGACGAUCAGUAGCCGGACUGAGAGGUUGAACGGCCACAUUGGGACUGAGACACGGCCCAGACUCCUACGGGAGGCAGCAGUGGGGAGUAUUGCGCAAUGGGGGCAACCCUGAACCGCAGCAACGCCGCGUGUGGGAAGAAGGUCUUCGGAUUGUAAACCAUUGUCUUCGGUGACGAUAAUGACGGUAGCCGAGGAGGAAGCUCCGGCUAACUACGUGCCAGCAGCAGC